Pteronotus mesoamericanus is the source of this 107-nucleotide small nuclear RNA. Lineage: Eukaryota; Metazoa; Chordata; Mammalia; Chiroptera; Mormoopidae. The record is from RefSeq and is a predicted model, not a curated record.
GUACCUGGUUCGGCAGCACAUAUAGUAAAAUUGGAACAAUACAGAGAAGAUUAACAUGGCCCUUGUGCAAGGAUGACAUGCAAAUUUGUGAAGCAUUCCAUAUUUUG